This 484-nucleotide ribosomal RNA is filed under the name uncultured bacterium. RNAcentral's name for it is "partial 16S ribosomal RNA". It matches the Rfam family "Bacterial small subunit ribosomal RNA", at positions 30 to 507 of the family's 1533-position model. The record is from RNAcentral.
AUUGAACGCUGGCGGCAGGCCUAACACAUGCAAGUCGAGCGGAUGAAGGGAGCUUGCUCCUGGAUUCAGCGGCGGACGGGUGAGUAAUGCCUAGGAAUCUGCCUGGUAGUGGGGGAUAACGUCCGGAAACGGGCGCUAAUACCGCAUACGUCCUGAGGGAGAAAGUGGGGGAUCUUCGGACCUCACGCUAUCAGAUGAGACUAGGUCGGAUUAGCUAGUUGGUUGGGUAAAGGCCUACCAAGGCGACGAUCCGUAACUGGCCUGAGAGGAUGAUCAGUCACACUGGAACUGAGACACGGUCCAGACUCCUACGGGAGGCAGCAGUGGGGAAUAUUGGACAAUGGGCGAAAGCCUGAUCCAGCCAUGCCGCGUGUGUGAAGAAGGUCUUCGGAUUGUAAAGCACUUUAAGUUGGGAGGAAGGGCAGUAAGUUAAUACCUUGCUGUUUUGACGGUACCAACAGAAUAAGCACCGGCUAACUUCGUG